RNAcentral lists this ribosomal RNA (251 nucleotides) under uncultured bacterium. RNAcentral's name for it is "partial 16S ribosomal RNA". It matches the Rfam family "Bacterial small subunit ribosomal RNA", at positions 524 to 776 of the family's 1533-position model. The record is from RNAcentral.
UACGGGGGGGCAAGCGUUGUUCGGAAUUACUGGGCGUAAAGGGCUCGUAGGUGGCCAACUAAGUCAUACGUGAAAUCCCUCAGCUUAACUGGGGAACUGCGUCUGAUACUGGAUGGCUUGAGUUUGGGAGAGGGAUGCGGAAUUCCAGGUGUAGCGGUGAAAUGCGUAGAUAUCAGGAGGAACACCGAUGGCGAAGGCAGGUCACUGGGCCGCAACUGACGCUGAGGAGCGAAAGCAUGGGAGCGAACAGG